This 285-nucleotide ribosomal RNA is filed under the name uncultured bacterium. RNAcentral's name for it is "partial 16S ribosomal RNA". It matches the Rfam family "Bacterial small subunit ribosomal RNA", at positions 29 to 342 of the family's 1533-position model. The record is from RNAcentral.
AACGAACGCUGGCGGCAGGCCUAACACAUGCAAGUCGAGCGCCCAGCAAUGGGAGCGGCGGACGGGUGAGUAACACGUGGGAAUAUGCCUUUCGGUUCGGAACAACUCGGGGAAACCCGUGCUAAUUCCGGAUACGCCCUUACGGGGAAAGGAUUUAUCGCCGAAAGAUUAGCCCGCGUCCGAUUAGCUAGUUGGUGAGGUAAUGGCUCACCAAGGCACCGAUCGGUAGCUGGUUUGAGAGAACGACCAGCCACACUGGGACUGAGACACGGCCCAGACUCCUAC